GUCCCUUUUUAAUAUUUUCAUAGUAUUUCAUAUCUGUGCCAAGCUUGGAAUCGAACACUGUGAACUCCUCUUCGUUGGUUAUCGUUUUAAAAAUGAAAUUUGACUUUUCCGAAGGUUGAACAUUCUUCACAACAAUAUCUUUCACCUUUUUAAAAGUUUCUAACGAAAUGCACACUUUUUUCUCGACUCGUUCCAAACGGUCUAUAAUGGUCGAAGCAUCCUUUUGGACGCGAUCGGUUUUUUCGUGAAAGUUUGCGAUUUGCUUUGAUAGCGAUGUAAACAUACUCAUAAAUGGUUCAAAUUCCGGCAUAGAGCUCUCAUUG
This is a long non-coding RNA of Anopheles funestus (African malaria mosquito), 323 nucleotides long. RefSeq lists it as uncharacterized. The record is from RefSeq and is a predicted model, not a curated record. The transcript is spliced from 3 exons. Lineage: Eukaryota; Metazoa; Arthropoda; Insecta; Diptera; Culicidae.